UACGGAAGGUGCAAGCGUUAAUCGGAAUUACUGGGCGUAAAGCGCGCGUAGGCGGCUUGGUAAGUCGGGCGUGAAAGCCCCGGGCUCAACCUGGGAACGGCGCUCGAUACUGCUGAGCUCGAGUACGAGAGAGGGGGGUGGAAUUCCAGGUGUAGCGGUGAAAUGCGUAGAGAUCUGGAGGAACACCAGUGGUGCAGACGGCGCCCUGGGCCACUACUGACGCUGAGAUACGAAAGCGUGGGGAGCGAACGGG
Molecule: ribosomal RNA, 253 nt
Filed under: uncultured bacterium
Lineage: Bacteria
Description: partial 16S ribosomal RNA
Rfam family: Bacterial small subunit ribosomal RNA
Source: RNAcentral